RNAcentral lists this ribosomal RNA (497 nucleotides) under uncultured bacterium. RNAcentral's name for it is "partial 16S ribosomal RNA". It matches the Rfam family "Bacterial small subunit ribosomal RNA", at positions 28 to 507 of the family's 1533-position model. The record is from RNAcentral.
GAUGAACGCUGGCGGCGUGCCUAAUACAUGCAAGUCGAGCGAACGGACGAGAAGCUUGCUUCUCUGAUGUUAGCGGCGGACGGGAGAGUAACACGUGGAUAACCUACCUAUAAGACUGGGAUAACUUCGGGAAACCGGAGCUAAUACCGGAUAAUAUUUUGAACCGCAUGGUUCAAAAGUGAAAGACGGUCGUGCUGUCACUUAUAGAUGGAUCCGCGCUGCAUUAGCUAGUUGGUAAGGUUACGGCCUACCAAGGCAACGAUGCAUAGCCGAACUGAGAGGGUGAUAGGCCACCUGAGAACGGGGACAGCCUCCAGACGACUGCGGGAGGCAGCAGUCGGGAAUCUGCCGCAAUAGGCGGAAGCCUGACGGAACGGGGCCGCGCCAGUGAUGGAGGCGCUCGGAGCGUGAUGCUCUGUUAUUAGGGGAGAACCUAUGUCUAAGUAACUGUACACAUCUUGACGGUAACUAGUCAGGAAGCCCCGGCUAACUACGUG